CACAGCAGUCAACCCAUCAGUCACGCUGUGACAGAUCAAGUCAAGAAAAGACACCAGCCAUGAAUCAGUGCUCGUCUCCCACGGAUAGGCACCCGCUUGUCUCUAGAUGGCCCUCGCCGUAGGACAACGUAGAAUGGUGUGCUCCACAGACUCCUCCACCCCACACACUGGACACAGGGUGGGAAUCUUCAUACACCUGUCUCUAAGGAGAGCCCGAGUGGGAAGCCGGUUCUAGGUAAGCUUCUAGAGAAAAAUCUGCACCCUGGUAUGAGCAGUCACUCUCCAGAUCCAAGCAGACUCGAUCUCCUCAGUCGGCAUCGGACCAUAC
Molecule: long non-coding RNA, 328 nt
Filed under: Elaeis guineensis (African oil palm)
Lineage: Eukaryota; Viridiplantae; Streptophyta; Magnoliopsida; Arecales; Arecaceae
Description: long non-coding RNA (EGUI_LNC001478)
Source: RNAcentral